Molecule: ribosomal RNA, 468 nt
Filed under: uncultured bacterium
Lineage: Bacteria
Description: partial 16S ribosomal RNA
Rfam family: Bacterial small subunit ribosomal RNA
Source: RNAcentral
GAUGAACGCUGGCGGCGUGCUUAACACAUGCAAGUCGAACGAACAGACCCUGCUUUUGUGGGUUGCUCGAGUGGCGAACGGGUGAGUAAAACAUGUGUAUCCUGCCCUUAUAUUUGGGAUAUCUUCACGGAAAUGGGGCUAUUACCGGAUAGGAGAUCCUGCUGCGCGGGGGGGGUUGGAGAGAUUCGGCUGUUGGGGAUGGGUUCGCGGCUUAUCAGCUUGUUGGUGGAGUAGUGGGUUACCAAGGCUUCGACGGGUAGGCGGCCUGAGGGGGUGACCGGCCACCUUGGGACUGAGAGAAGGCACAGGCACCUAAGGGAGGCAGAAGGGGGGAAGCUUGACCAAGGGGCGGAGGGCGGGUGCAGCAAGGCCGCGGGCGGGAAGACGGUCUUCUGGGGGUAAACCGCAUUCGCAUGUGACGAAGCGUGUGUGAAGGUAAUGUGUAAAGAAGGACCGGCUUACUACGGU